GACGAACGCUGGCGGCGUGCUUAACACAUGCAAGUCGAACGGAAAGGCCCUGCUUUUGUGGGGUGCUCGAGUGGCGAACGGGUGAGUAACACGUGAGUAACCUGCCCUUGACUUUGGGAUAACUUCAGGAAACUGGGGCUAAUACCGGAUAGGAGCUCCUGCUGCAUGGUGGGGGUUGGAAAGUUUCGGCGGUUGGGGAUGGACUCGCGGCUUAUCAGCUUGUUGGUGUGGUAGUGGCUUACCAAGGCUUUGACGGGUAGCCGGCCUGAGAGGGUGACCGGCCACAUUGGGACUGAGAUACGGCCCAGAAUCAUACGGGAGGCAGCAGUGGGGAAUAUGGCACAAUGGGCGGAAGCCUGAUGCAGCAACGCCGCGUGCGGGAUGACGGCCUUCGGGUUGUAAACCGAUUUCGCCUGUGACGAAGCGUGAGUGACGGUAAUGGGUAAAGAAGCACCGGCUAACUACGUG
Molecule: ribosomal RNA, 468 nt
Filed under: uncultured bacterium
Lineage: Bacteria
Description: partial 16S ribosomal RNA
Rfam family: Bacterial small subunit ribosomal RNA
Source: RNAcentral